UUAUUUGAGAGUUUGAUCCUGGCUCAGGACGAACGCUGGCGGCGUGCUUAACACAUGCAAGUUGAACGGGCAGAUAUGGAAGCUUGCUGAAGUAUCUGUUAGUAGCGGACGGGUGAGUAAUGCAUGAGGAG
RNAcentral lists this ribosomal RNA (131 nucleotides) under Aminivibrio sp. Its description in RNAcentral is "partial 16S ribosomal RNA". It matches the Rfam family "Bacterial small subunit ribosomal RNA", at positions 1 to 124 of the family's 1533-position model. Lineage: Bacteria; Thermotogati; Synergistota; Synergistia; Synergistales; Aminobacteriaceae. The record is from RNAcentral.